UAUCGGGACAGAGUGACAGGUGCUGCAUGGCUGUCGUCAGCUCGUGUCGUGAGAUGUUGGGUUAAGUCCCGCAACGAGCGCAACCCUUGUCUCUAGUUGCCAAUAUUAGGUUAGGCACUCUAGAGAGACCGCCUCGGUUAACGGGGAGGAAGGUGGGGAUGACGUCAAGUCCUCAUGGCCUUUAUACCCAGGGCUACACACGUGCUACAAUGGGCGGUACAAAGGGCUGCAACACCGCGAGGUGAAGCUAAUCCCAAAAAACCGUUCUCAGUUCGGAUUGAAGUCUGCAACUCGACUUCAUGAAGUUGGAAUCGCUAGUAAUCGUGGAUCAGCAUGCCACGGUGAAUACGUUCCCGGGCCUUGUACACACCGCCCGUCACACCACGAAAGUUGAUUGUACCAGAAGUUGCCGGGCUAACCACGUUUCGGCGUGGAUGCAGGCACCUAAGGUACGGUUGAUGAUUGGGGUGAAGUCGUAACAAGGUAGCCGUAGGGGAACC
This 500-nucleotide ribosomal RNA is filed under the name uncultured bacterium. Its description in RNAcentral is "bacterial SSU rRNA". It matches the Rfam family "Bacterial small subunit ribosomal RNA", at positions 1019 to 1512 of the family's 1533-position model. The record is from RNAcentral.